GCAGAUAGGUCGGGGAGCUAAGGGUUCCCUGCUCGCAAAUCCCUUUUGGCGAACCAAUGCCGGUCGAGUGCUGGACGCGCAUAAGCGGUCCUGUGUUUCGGCGUAGACGCCCUGCCUUAGGUGAUAGCCGGGUGUGUGAACCAGGCCAGGCCGGAAGGAGCAACCUUAAGCAUAUCUUCGCUAUGCUCUUAAGAUACAGGGCCGAGCUGUGAUGCAGAUAAACCAUUAUGCAACUCCACUGCGAGGCCGGCUUCUGC
This 257-nucleotide signal recognition particle RNA is filed under the name Microcaldota archaeon. RNAcentral's name for it is "signal recognition particle sRNA large type". It matches the Rfam family "Bacterial large signal recognition particle RNA". Rfam says of the family: The signal recognition particle (SRP) is a universally conserved ribonucleoprotein involved in the co-translational targeting of proteins to membranes. Archaeal SRP consists of a 7S RNA and homologues of the eukaryotic SRP19 and SRP54 proteins. The record is from RNAcentral. Lineage: Archaea; Nanobdellati; Microcaldota.